CUGGGCUCGUCCCGGUGCCGGAAACGAGCGCUGCCCGGCGAGCGGCCUUGGGGACCCAGGGCUGGGGCCCGUGGCCUACACGAGGCCAGAGAUCCCCACUGGCCCCGAGAGGCCGCCCAGCGCUGGAGGUGCGGGCAGAGCUGCAGCCAAGCUCCCGAGGCGAUCUGCUGUUAGGCCACAACCUGGGCUCGCCUAGUGCCCGAGGCCCAAGUCGCAGUUCUCGUGAAAACGAAAAGGAGAUCGGCUAUGCCCUGGACACAAAGGAAGACCCGCGGGAUGUCCACCCCACAGGCCAAAAGCUCUUAAGACCAAAACGGUCUUUCAGGGCGCGGUUGCACGGUAGCACCCCCAUUUCCCAAACCGCAGAUUAAAACUGCGCGGGGUCCAGAGUUGGAGCGUGGAAGGGCCCGCAGGAGUGGAAGUGCGUACACCUGAUGCGGGACGGGAACUGCCGGGCGCGCACGGCUGCAGCCCCCACCCGCAGGCUGUUUCAGCCGGCAGCGUAUUUCUCAAUUGCCUGCGCCUGGUUUUUUGAAAUGUGCCGAAGCCGUGGCGGGAACCGGUCCCAAGGGCUGCGCAUGGCACCAGGAAUAAGCAGCCCGGAGGGGUUUGCAAAUCAGGAGGCCUUGCUGCAGACCCCGCACCCGGGCUGGGGGAACGGCAUUUCGGGCCUUGGUACCCGGAGUGUAGGAGCUGGGAGGAGAAAGACGUCUCUCCUGACUCCCAAAUCCCAUGAACUGAUUCGGCCCCGCACAGAGCAGGUUUCCGGUUUUGCACUGCCUCAGGGGACUGCUUACAGAGACCCCACGCAGUGAUCCCGUGACCCCUGUUGCUAGACAUCCAGAGGCUUCUGGUCCCUAAGUGCCAAGGUAGGCGUUUCUUGGGGCCCAGAAACGGCCUAGCCAGGGGCAGGUGGCAAACGCCAGCACAGUCUCAGCACCUCGGGACCUUAGGCGCUGCCUCGCGCAACUUCUGCGCCCCAAUCCAUGCCUGAGAAGAAACCCUGAGCCCCGAACACGCCGGAAGUUUCCCCAGCGCGUCUAAGAGGCUUCGCCUGCUGGAGGGCCCGAGACGCAGCAAAGAAGAGGCUCCGGGAGGAACUUGGGAUCGUACGGACACGCAACCACUUCUGGGAUUAAGCGCGGAAGACGUUUCCUAAAUGCCCUGAAUCCCCGUUUGCCUGGUAGGCCACCUCCAAACUCAGAGUCACUAAACACCAGAAAAGCUGGUGGCCACCGAAACCCAGCUCUGUAAAGAAGAAAAACCCAGACGUAAUUGGGUGCUAGUACUGAAGACCAAGUGCGCACAGAAAACCGCAGACCGUGCAGAGGCCCAGGGCGGAAGGGAUGCGGGCAGCGGACAGCGACUCAGGCAGCAGCCGCGGAGUCCCCAGCGGUUUAGCUCCCCAGCCGGAGGCUCUCCGCGCCGUUCCUGGAUGAAGAGAAACGCCUGGCGUUCCCGGGUGCGCGGUUCCCGUUCCCAGGCAGCUCGGCGGGCAUUCGGCUCGCAGCCCCGAGCCUUCGCGGUCUGAUUUGGGAGGCCUGCGCCCUGGCAUUUGCAUAUUCCCGGGAACACUGGGAGGCCUGUAAUUUUCUUUUUAAAAUCGUUGGGCAGGGUUUAGGGCCAAUGCUUCCAAAACCCCGCCGAGUUGAUGUCGUCCUUAAACUCUCCCUUAAGAGAAGGGGACUGGCCUAUUCUUCUGACUUUUUUAGAAAAGGUGACUCCUGGGGCUGCAUAUUCAACAGGGGGGAAAGCUGAUUGUGAACCAGGCUGUGGGGGGAGAGAGG
Molecule: long non-coding RNA, 1787 nt
Filed under: Homo sapiens (human)
Lineage: Eukaryota; Metazoa; Chordata; Mammalia; Primates; Hominidae
Description: HSALNT0231512
Source: RNAcentral